Molecule: ribosomal RNA, 406 nt
Filed under: uncultured bacterium
Lineage: Bacteria
Description: partial 16S ribosomal RNA
Rfam family: Bacterial small subunit ribosomal RNA
Source: RNAcentral
AAUAUUUCGCAAGGGUGGGAACUCUGACGCAGCGACGCCGUGUUAUCGAUGAUUGNCUNNGGUUCNUNAAGCACUUUCCUUAGNNNNNAAGGUCCUCGGCCAUGACGGUACCUAAGGACGAAGCCCCGGAUAACUACGUGUCAGCAGCCGCGGUAAUACGUAGGGGGCAAGCGUUGUCCGGAAUUAUUGGGCGUAAAGGGUGCGUAGGCGGCCUUUUAAGUCAGAUGUGAAAGCCCACGGCUUAACCGUGGGACUGCAUUUGAAACUGGAGGGCUUGAGUAUCGGAGAGGGUAGUGGAAUUCCCAGUGUAGCGGUGGAAUGCGUAGAUAUUGGGAGGAACACCAGUGGCGAAGGCGACUACCUGGACGAAAACUGACGCUGAGGCACGAAAGCUAGGGGAGCAAAC